Molecule: ribosomal RNA, 427 nt
Filed under: Anaplasma platys
Lineage: Bacteria; Pseudomonadati; Pseudomonadota; Alphaproteobacteria; Rickettsiales; Anaplasmataceae
Description: bacterial SSU rRNA
Rfam family: Bacterial small subunit ribosomal RNA
Source: RNAcentral
AGUGGCGAACGGGUGAGUAAUGCAUAGGAAUCUACCUAGUAGUAUGGGAUAGCCACUAGAAAUGGUGGGUAAUACUGUAUAAUCCCUGUGGGGGAAAGAUUUAUCGCUAUUAGAUGAGCCUAUGUUAGAUUAGCUAGUUGGUAGGGUAAAGGCCUACCAAGGCAGUGAUCUAUAGCUGGUCUGAGAGGAUGAUCAGCCACACUGGAACUGAGAUACGGUCCAGACUCCUACGGGAGGCAGCAGUGGGGAAUAUUGGACAAUGGGCGCAAGCCUGAUCCAGCUAUGCCGCGUGAGUGAGGAAGGCCUUAGGGUUGUAAAACUCUUUCAGUGGGGAAGAUAAUGACGGUACCCACAGAAGAAGUCCCGGCAAACUCCGUGCCAGCAGCCGCGGUAAUACGGAGGGGGCGAGCGUUGUUCGGGAUUAUUG